GAAUCAGGAGGCAGAGCACAUGGUUAAAGCAUGAGAUGUGAAACCAGGAAGAACCAGGUCUGAACCUUAGCUCCACCAGUGGUAGCUUCAAACCUUGGUCCUUUCUGAGCCUGCUUCUUCAACCGUAAGCUCAUCCCCUAUUCUCUUCUUGCAAUCGGGAUGCUGCCUGACUACCAACACACCUGCACAAAGCCCUCUGCAGCACCUGCCACUGGCCCAUGCUUUUGUCAUUGCCACCUCCAGCUCAGCCUCAUUCCCCUCCAGGCUCUGCUCCAACGCACAGGACCACAGGAACUCGGAAACGGGACCCAGAAAGUUGUUUUCUCAAGUGGAUGGAACAACACAAGCAAUCAGUAUCCUGAAACAGGCCCUGUUCCAACAAACUGACCCAGAAAGGUCUGGUUAGGAGGACAGGACCCUCACUAUACACUAUCACAUUUAAACUAAAAGGAUAUUAUGAAUUAUGUACACAUAUCAAGCUGAGAGGAAAGGAAAUCCUAUCAUCUUGCAGGCUUCCUAAUG
RNAcentral lists this long non-coding RNA (522 nucleotides) under Homo sapiens (human). RNAcentral describes it as "novel transcript, antisense to IWS1". Lineage: Eukaryota; Metazoa; Chordata; Mammalia; Primates; Hominidae. The record is from RNAcentral.